This is a long non-coding RNA of Triticum dicoccoides, 1533 nucleotides long. RefSeq lists it as uncharacterized. The transcript has 4 exons. Lineage: Eukaryota; Viridiplantae; Streptophyta; Magnoliopsida; Poales; Poaceae. The record is from RefSeq and is a predicted model, not a curated record.
GCGCGCUCUCUUCAUCGCCUCGCUUCGUCCCGUUCGAACGCCCUGUCCUCCGGCUCUGCACCAUGGCCAUCCGUUCCUCCAUUGGUGAUGUUUGUUGAGGUUCUUUCUAUUCUGCUCCUCCGGUUCUUUCCUGCCAUUGUUUCUACGAUUUACUAUUCUGGUCUGUUUCCAUUUGCUCCCUUCGUGCGCAGCUUCCUUGGAUUUCACGUUGGCUCCUCAGUAGGAGCGUGGGUCGUUCGGUCCUUGCUGUUUAGGUUAGUUCGAGCCUCUUUGCUUCUCUAUGGGUGCAUGCCUGUUAGGUGUUUGAUGAAAUGCGCGAGGGUUGCUCGAUGAAUGCUGCCGUGUGUUUUCAUCUUGCGUUAGUUGUGCAUGUUUCGCGGUGUCAGUUUCCGCGGCCUGUAUGAGGAUAUGAUGAUGCUGAUACUUUUGUAUGAUAGUGAUGUUUGAAGGCGAUGUGUCUUUUUGUUUUGCUUCUAUUUUGUUGCUUGUUUUACUGUUUGCGUUUGGAUGCAUGAACGCUUUUGUUUCCAUCGUUGCGCCUAUUUUGGAGUUCCCAGGAGAAUCACAGCAGCUACCAACGGACGCAGAAGAGAUAUGUGCCAUAUUUUCUCCAGCCGAAGAACAUUCCGUCAAUGACCAGCCUAAAGAACAGCCAGAUGAGGAUGAGGUGGCAAGCAUGGAAGUAACCCACAGGCCACAGCCAGUUUUCUUCAUAUGCGGCAUUGUACAAACAAUAUGAGAAUUCACGGCACGGUUCUGAGAGGCAGUACCAGCGAUGGUCAAAAUACCUUACGGGAUGAUGUUGGAUGUUCUUUUAGAGACUCUGGGCCUUCCACCAGCUGAGUACCGAACCAGAGUAUAUUGUGGCAGCAGGGUGUGUGUGACUGUAUUGUUCCAUACACCCACAUCAUAUGUUGGGAAUGAUAUGAAUCGAAUGGCUAUUCUCGGGGUACAAUCUGUUGAUCAUUCUAUGUCAGAAGACAGUGCUGCUAUGGAAGCAAUUGGAUACAUUAAAUGCACAGUGAAGACAGAGAUAAGAGACUAUAAUUGCAGCACCAUGAAGAAACUCGAGGAGGAAAAUCGUUCUCUAAAACAUGAGGUUAAUAUAGCUAGGUACAGCAAGAAGAAGAUGAAGACAAAGAUCAGAUCCAUCAAGAACAAGCUAAUUAUUGCUACAUAUGAAAAGAAGCAAAACGCUAUGGGCUGGUUCGUCUUAACAAGGUACAUGCAUGGAUUAUCUGAUCAUAUAUCCAACGUAACGGUGUUGAAUAUGUCAUCUGGGAAAGGACCCAUAGAUAAGAUUAUCAAUGACCCUCUUAUCAACAUAGAGAAGAAAAGAAGCUAAGAGCCAUCAGGAUGGGUUUUUAGAACCUGGGCCUUUCAAUCUAUGUUGUAUUCUGCUCCUUUUGCUUACCGUAGCUGCAGAAGCUAGAUGCAAUUGUAUAAUUAGCUUUCUCUUUAAACCAAGACUUGCCAAAGCUAUGUGUGUAAGAAGUAAUGGUACCAUUUAAUAUAUUCCUAUAUGAACGAUGU